AGGCCCGCCUAUUCAG
This 16-nucleotide transfer RNA is filed under the name Anolis distichus dominicensis. Its description in RNAcentral is "partial tRNA-Asx". Lineage: Eukaryota; Metazoa; Chordata; Lepidosauria; Squamata; Anolidae. RNAcentral also lists the same sequence under 1 other name. The record is from RNAcentral.